AUUGAACGCUGGCGGCAGGCCUAACACAUGCAAGUCGAGCGGCGCGGCGGACGGGUGAGUAAUGCCUAUGUAUCUGCCUGGUCGUGGGGGAUAACGUCCGGAACCGGGCGCUAAAACCGCAUCCUCUCACCUUAGCCUAGGCCGGAUUAGCUAGUUGGUGGGGUAAAGGCAUACCAAGGCGACGAUCAGUAACUGGUCUGAGAGGAUGAUCAGUCACACUGGAACGGAGACACGGUCCAGACUCCUACGGGAGGCAGCAGUGGGGAAUAUUGGACAAUGGGCGAAAGCCUGAUGCAGCCAUGCCGCGUGUGUGAAGAAGGUCUUCGGAUUGUAAAGCACUUUAAGUUGGGAGGCGUUACCAACAGAAUAAGCACCGGCUAACUUCGUGCCAGCAGCCGCGGUAAUUC
RNAcentral lists this ribosomal RNA (407 nucleotides) under uncultured bacterium. Its description in RNAcentral is "partial 16S ribosomal RNA". It matches the Rfam family "Bacterial small subunit ribosomal RNA", at positions 30 to 526 of the family's 1533-position model. The record is from RNAcentral.